RNAcentral lists this ribosomal RNA (422 nucleotides) under bacterium fme08x96p532. RNAcentral's name for it is "bacterial SSU rRNA". It matches the Rfam family "Bacterial small subunit ribosomal RNA", at positions 48 to 476 of the family's 1533-position model. The record is from RNAcentral.
GCUACACAUGCAGUCGAGCGGUAACAGNAAGUAGCUUGCUACUUUGCUGACGAGCGGCGGACGGGUGAGUAAUGCUUGGGAACAUGCCUUGAGGUGGGGGACAACAGUUGGAAACGACUGCUAAUACCGCAUAAUGUCUACGGACCAAAGGGGGCUUCGGCUCUCGCCUUUAGAUUGGCCCAAGUGGGAUUAGCUAGUUGGUGAGGUAAUGGCUCACCAAGGCAACGAUCCCUAGCUGGUUUGAGAGGAUGAUCAGCCACACUGGAACUGAGACACGGUCCAGACUCCUACGGGAGGCAGCAGUGGGGAAUAUUGCACAAUGGCGCAAGCCUGAUGCAGCCAUGCCGCGUGUGUGAGAAGGCCUUCGGGUUGUAAAGCACUUUCAGUCAGGAGGAAAGGUUAGUAGUUAAUNACCUGCUAGC